CGGGUUCUGCCCUGCGCGACUGACGUUACAUUCCAGUGGCCUUAAGCAAAUCCGAGGGAGCUGGCUCUGUCAUAGCCCUGGUUACGUUAACCGGCGCCCACCUGUACAUACAGGUCCUCGGGAAUACAACCGACCCGGCAACGGCGGUCCCGCC
RNAcentral lists this small RNA (154 nucleotides) under Sulfitobacter guttiformis. Its description in RNAcentral is "6S / SsrS RNA". The record is from RNAcentral. Lineage: Bacteria; Pseudomonadati; Pseudomonadota; Alphaproteobacteria; Rhodobacterales; Roseobacteraceae.